This 368-nucleotide ribosomal RNA is filed under the name uncultured organism. RNAcentral describes it as "bacterial LSU rRNA". It matches the Rfam family "Bacterial large subunit ribosomal RNA", at positions 2099 to 2465 of the family's 2925-position model. The record is from RNAcentral.
CUUUACUGUAGCUUUGCAUUGGACUUUGAACCGGUUUGUGUAGGAUAGGUGGGAGACUGUGAAAGCGGAACGCUAGUUUCGCCGGAGUCGUCCUUGAAAUACCACCCUGAUUUGUUUGAGGUUCUAACCUUGGUCAGUGAAUCCUGAUCGGGGACCGUGCAUGGUAGGCAGUUUGACUGGGGCGGUCUCCUCCCAAAAGGUAACGGAGGAGUACGAAGGUACGCUUAGGGCGGUCGGACAUCGCCCAUAAAGUGCAAUGGCAAAAGCGUGCUUGACCGCGAGACCCACAAGUCGAGCAGGUGCGAAAGCAGGUCAUAGUGAUCCGGUGGUUCUGUAUGGAAGGGCCAUCGCUCAACGGAUAAAAGGUA